CGGCCGCAGAACUGGGCCGGCCUCGAGGUCCCGCCUGGGUGGCCCCAGGGGAGGCCUCCCGCUGUGCAGCAGGGCGCCAUGAGGAAAAGAUUUUCAAAACUAAUUAGGCACCAACAGUCUUGAGAACGGAAUCAGGAGCUGAGGGAUCUCAUUUCAGUUAUUGUUUAAUUCAGCUUCUGUAAAUGGAAUGGACUGUGGCCAGCAAGCCUGGGGCAUAAACACACCUGUAUGAAAGAAGCCUUAUUGUAGCAACCAUCUACAACCAACCUGCACAUGCACUACCAGUUCGUGAGUUCAGAAGGAAUGUUCCAUUUUCCCUAACAGUAAAUUUUGCCUUAAGAUAACUCUUUUUUGUACCCGCUGUCCUGUCUUGACCACGAAGCUUGUACACUUUU
Long non-coding RNA from Vidua chalybeata, 395 nucleotides. RefSeq lists it as uncharacterized. The transcript has 3 exons. The record is from RefSeq and is a predicted model, not a curated record. Lineage: Eukaryota; Metazoa; Chordata; Aves; Passeriformes; Viduidae.